AACGCAAAUGGCACUCUAUGGUAUUCCGUAGAGUACGUCUGUUUGAGCGUCGCGAACAUCUCCACAAUUAGUUUUUUUUAAAAAUUAGUUGAGGGUUUUGAGGUUGUCAUAUAAACAAUGACUCCCUUUAAAAUAAUUAGUGAUGACCUUAUGAAUGGGUUAAUACUGUGUGUUAUAAUGGAUUACAUCCAUCACCAGUCAGAGAGUAAUCUCGCCUUAGUAAUUUGUAGUGAUUGCUUCUAACUGCCAUUGGCAACAACCUGAUCAAAUCGACCUCAAAUCAGAUGGGAUUACCCGCUGAACUUAA
Molecule: unclassified non-coding RNA, 307 nt
Filed under: Xylaria sp.
Lineage: Eukaryota; Fungi; Ascomycota; Sordariomycetes; Xylariales; Xylariaceae
Also listed under: 2 other names
Description: partial contains 5.8S ribosomal RNA, internal transcribed spacer 2, and large subunit ribosomal RNA
Source: RNAcentral